Molecule: long non-coding RNA, 636 nt
Organism: Amphiprion ocellaris (clown anemonefish)
Lineage: Eukaryota; Metazoa; Chordata; Actinopteri; Pomacentridae
Source: Ensembl
GUUCCUUUAGGUGUGGGUUUCCGCCCACCUCCCCAGGGGAAUUUUGGGAGGGUAAAUAACCGGUUCUGUCUUCAUUCCUGUGAACCUUUUACCUGUUUUCCAGGUUACUGCUCAAGUUUAUUGCAGAAAUGCAGAGUAAACAUUAAAGAGGGAGACACCGGACCUGUAACACUAACCACUAAGCCGCUGUGCAGCCCUACCAAGAAAAUCAUUGUAUUUGCAGCAAAUUUGCUCCAAACAGUGACCUGCAGUAAACCUGCCAUCAGUUUUCCACAAAGUUUGAGGUCUAGUCCACCAGAAUUCCAGGGCAAGUUUGCCACAGAUGUAAUUUGCACAUGAAAUUUGCAGCAACAUUGCGAAAGAUUGAGCAUAAAUGUCUUCUAGAAACUGUUACUGCCAGUAAAACUAUCUCUGGAACCACAUACUGACGUGUUUGUUACUAAUGUCGAACUCACCGGAAGUUUAUAUAGGAAGUUUAGUGGGAAACAACUCAUUAUUGCCGGGAUGUUUCUGGAAGUUUGGCAAACUUGUGGCAACAUUUUCUGGAAGACUAAUUGUUUUGCUGCAAAUCAACCACAAGUUUGCGGCAAAUCUGUUUCAAACAUUCAGCUUUUUUGAUAAAUAUCCUCACUGCCU